ACGUAGGUGGCAAGCGUUAUCCGGAUUUACUGGGUGUAAAGGGCGUGUAGGCGGGACUGCAAGUCAGAUGUGAAAAUUAUGGGCUCAACCCAUAACCUGCAUUUGAAACUGUGGUUCUUGAGUGAUGGAGAGGCAGGCGGAAUUCCGUGUGUAGCGGUGAAAUGCGUAGAUAUACGGAGGAACACCAGUGGCGAAGGCGGCCUGCUGGACAUUAACUGACGCUGAGGCGCGAAAGCGUGGGGAGCAAACAG
RNAcentral lists this ribosomal RNA (251 nucleotides) under uncultured prokaryote. Its description in RNAcentral is "partial 16S rRNA". It matches the Rfam family "Bacterial small subunit ribosomal RNA", at positions 525 to 775 of the family's 1533-position model. The record is from RNAcentral.